This 487-nucleotide long non-coding RNA is filed under the name Elaeis guineensis (African oil palm). RNAcentral's name for it is "long non-coding RNA (EGUI_LNC075644)". The record is from RNAcentral. Lineage: Eukaryota; Viridiplantae; Streptophyta; Magnoliopsida; Arecales; Arecaceae.
ACCUCACCGAAAAAAUGACAAAUCAUCAAGUCCUUAGCCAGAUGCUUCCCCAGCAAAAUUGUUUCAAGUCACCUCAUCAUCGACAAAGUUGCUUCACCAACAAGAAAGUUAGCUACUUUUUAACUACUUAGCAAGUAAGUUACUUUAGCAUAAAGUAGAUUCACCAGCACGCAAGAUGACUUUACUUCAGCACCAAGUUGCUUCAGCGUCAAGCUACUUCAAGCCCAAGCAAGAUGCUCAUCCCUAGCUUCUAUAAGAAGACCCACAAUGCCAGCAUUGAGGAAUAAGCCUUGGCAAGCCUUGACAUAAGUCUUGGUAGUGCUUCAUGAGCAAUCCAGAAGCCAGUGGCUUCCCUGAAAAUCUUAUUGAAGAUCAUAUGCCAGGUAGAAGUUACAAGCCAGUGAGGGAGUGUUCCACUAAAUAGUUCUUCUUCUUCCUCCUAUCUUAUACCGUUGUAUAUAUUUUUCUCUUAAGUCCUUGUACAAUC